RNAcentral lists this transfer RNA (73 nucleotides) under Bos taurus (domestic cattle). It matches the Rfam family "tRNA". From Rfam's summary of the family: Transfer RNA (tRNA) molecules are approximately 80 nucleotides in length. The record is from Rfam by way of RNAcentral. Lineage: Eukaryota; Metazoa; Chordata; Mammalia; Artiodactyla; Bovidae. RNAcentral also lists the same sequence under 1 other name.
UCCCUGGUGGUUCAGUGGCUAAUACUCCAUGCUUCCAGUGCAGGGGGCCCAGGUUUGAUUCCUGGCCAGGGAG